RNAcentral lists this long non-coding RNA (793 nucleotides) under Elaeis guineensis (African oil palm). RNAcentral's name for it is "long non-coding RNA (EGUI_LNC003026)". The record is from RNAcentral. Lineage: Eukaryota; Viridiplantae; Streptophyta; Magnoliopsida; Arecales; Arecaceae.
GAUGCCCCCCAAUGAUGUUGUUUAUUACACCGACUGAGGGUUGGUUCUCCUGCGGUCCUGCCUGUUGUGGGUGCUCUGCUAGCUGAGGAGAUCUCUACCAUUCUUCCAGCUGCUCCCUCCUUCAUCGGAUGAAACAAUUGAGACAACCAUGCCUGAUGAAAUCUUCAAUCUCAUCUUGGAGUUGAAUACACUCCUCUGUAUUAUGACCAUGAUUUUGAUGGUAUAAAUAGUACUUUUUUGAAUUUCUCCAACUAGAAAGUGUCUGUAGCUUUUUUGCCUUUGGGAGCAGUUCUCAUAUUUCUAUCAACACCUGAAUCCUUAGAGUAUUCAAUGGAGUAUAAUUAUUAUACCUUCUCGAUGGUGAGACAUACCGAUCUCUUCUCUAAGGGCUUCGGGGUCGGUGCUUUCGAGGAGGGGUCUCUUUUUUCAGCUUUCAAGAUGGGGACCUGGAGCGCGGUCAAAUUCUCUCCUCCUGCCCAGGAAACACUCCUUAUUUUGCUUUCCCCCAUGAUGGAACUAGCAGGGGUUUCGUCUUCGAUGAAGACUUCCUCCAUAUGGGUGUAGUUCUCCAUCCGAACCAGCAUAUCAGGAUAAUUUCGAGGAUAGGUUUUCACUAAUGACCUCUUAAGGUCAUUUUUCAAGAGUCUACUCAACAUCGCGAACAUCACGUUUGAUUGGUCCAGAUCACUAACUUCUAGGGUGGCCGCAUUGAAACGGUUGACAAAAGCUCGGAUUGACUCGUCCUCCUUCUGUUUCACAAUGUAGAGGUAGUCGGAUCACUUCUGCUAGCAUC